This is a long non-coding RNA of Xiphophorus hellerii (green swordtail), 2791 nucleotides long. RefSeq lists it as uncharacterized. The transcript has 2 exons. The record is from RefSeq and is a predicted model, not a curated record. Lineage: Eukaryota; Metazoa; Chordata; Actinopteri; Cyprinodontiformes; Poeciliidae.
CUGUUCAGAGUUUAUGGAAAGCUGGAUCAAGCUAAAAAGACAAUCAUCUGAUGGCGAAUCCAAAAGACCUGGAACUGUGCUGCCUCUUUCCGCGCUGCUUUACAUCCAGAACCAGACUCCCGGGGCUUCACCGAUCUGGACUUGGCACCGGUUUUUCCCGGAUGACGUAAUGCCGAGAGAGUGGCUGCGACCGUCCAGCAGAUGGCAUCAACCCUGACUGCUGCUGCUGCUGCUGCUGCUGCCUCCGUCAGCCGACGUCACCGAGGAGGUGACUGUACCGCGGUGGCGUCAGCUUCCCGUGGUGCAGGAUUUUGUCAUCAUUUAGGUCGUGACUGGGGAACAAAAAGCUCCAAAUGACAGAUUCGUGCUACAGAGGCGUGCUUCGUGGAGACGUCCCGAGAGGUCUAUGGCAACCCGAUUAAAACUAAAAUAGUGAGGCAGAAUCUUAACGGAGUAACUCAUAAUUCGGAUUUCAGCCAUUCAGAAUGUCAUUCGUCUCUAAAACCAUAUAUUUCCGGUUAUACUUGCGUAUACAAGUUGAAAGAUAUGUGAUAUUACUAACCAACAACAACCUUGUUAUAACGUAAUUAUAACGAAGAUACUUUUAAUAUAUGGGGCCUAAAGUUAACAUAAAACAUGUGAGAUAAAAUCAGGGCUUCAUAUGUAGAUAAGUCAUAGUUUUCCUUGCAAUCAUUCAGCUAUUUGCAAUAUCUGUAGAAAAUUGUAUUUGUAGACGGAAUAUAUAAGACAAUAAAAAUUGACAAAUUUAUGCUAUUGAUAUCUUUUUUACAAAGAAAGAAUGUGUUUUUUGUUUUUACUCUUCUUCAAAUGUAUUCUAACACAGAUAAUUUAUCUCCCCCUGCCCGUCUCUCUCUCUCUCUCCCUAUCUUUCUCUCUCUUUAAAAAUAAUAUUUUUUAAAGAUUUUUGUUAGACCUACUGCCAACAAAAGACACCAACUAAAGUAUAGGCGAAUUACAUUUAAAUCCAUCUAAACAUGAUCAAUAUAAAAUACACUGAACUAAACAUUGUUAAAUUAUUAAGAAUUUAUAUGACUAUAGGUAUUACUCUUGAAAUGGUUAUGUAUUUAUUUAGGAAAUAGUUGAUGAAAAUAACAACCCAACCUUCAAAGAUAAGAACCAGAGACACAUAUUUGAAGGAAAUGGAAUAUUAUGUAAUAUAUCCAUCUCUAAUUUUCAAAAGUAAAACAUAUUUGCUUUGCCAAUAGGAUGCAUGCACGUUUUAGUACAAUUACAAGAAAGCUUUGAUUGAAAAAAUAAAUAUCAAACAAUUACAAAAUUUGCUUCAGCAACAUGCCUUUUUUUAAUAAGCUAAACGUUGUAAAUAAUUAUGCAACAAAAUUAAAGUAUUUCUUUUUAGAAAUGUAUGCAAAAUAGAAUAAGAGUAUAAAGACAGAAUAAAAAUGAUCGUGAAUAUACCGACAUCUAGUGGACAUUUUAAAACAGUGCAUAUUGUGGAUUAAAGUAGCAGCAAGGGAGAUACUCAGAAAGUUGAUUAAAGAUGGAGCAAAUCUCUUUACGAAAAUCAUAAACUUUUUAAAUAAAAUAAAAAAAAUCUCAUAUGAAAUGCAUUUCCAAACUUUUUUGGUAAAUGUCUACUAAAUUUAAUUAUCAGAUCAGAUUUUUUAAAAAACAAUAAAAAAAACAAUUGGCCAAAAUUGGGAACGGAGUAAAAAGAGUAGUGUUUGACUUUAUGUCACCUCUCUGUUUAUCAUAUGUUAAUUACUUUACCUAUUUUUUUUUUCUUUAAAGGAUAAAAUAUCAUUCAGUUAAAUGACAUUCAACUGAAGUGUGCCGCUUGGGCAGGAAAAAUACAUUUUUAAUAGAAUAUUGACAUGAAAAUUCUCAGAUGAGAAUGUCAGACAGACAGGGCAAAAUCUACUAACUUAAAUACACAAAAGCCCAAAUAGAUUAGAAAAGGGUUUGAGUUUGUGUCAUUAAGACACUUGUUGACUGCUGCUAGAUUUCCCCCUGGUUUAACUUUAUAUUGUCUUAGCUUUUGAUUAAUCUUGUCAUUUCUUCUUCAGUCAGUGAGAGCUAGAGUUCUUGUCUUGUGACAUUUCAGUAGUGGUUGCAGUGCUGUGUAAUAAUCCCUACAUGUCCUCAUUCACCGUUAUUUCUACCUUCUCCUUUCCUGUGUCUACAUAGUUCACCUACAUUUUAUUCAUCACUCCUGAAUACACCCCUUGGCUCUUACUUUAUUACACCUGAUACUUUUGUGGUCACAGGUUAAUAGUUUUCAUUUAUCCACCCGUUAUUUGUUAUUUAUUACUUGGUCUGUUUAAUCUCCUGUCAUUUGGUAGAAGAUAUUGAUUGUUCUUUUGGCUCAAUGAACAAGGCAGCUAAACUCCCUCUAACAAGUUUGAAAGUGACUUUUCUUCAACCUGUAUCUAAUUUUUAUGUAAACAAAAUUGCUUCAUUUAUUGCUAUGGCGCCUCUAUUCAUCUCACCUUGUGUGUUUGCAAUGAAAAAAAUAUUGAGAACACAAUAACGUUUUCUGCCAAUCUUUUUUAUUGUCAUUAGAAAUGGAAAUUAAACAAGAUAAAGACACACACAACUUUUUAGAAAAACAAAAACAGAUACAACUCUCAGAGGUGGCAAGGGUUGAUCAGAAACACUUGAACCCCAGGAAGAAUCUGGACAGUGGUUCCCUUUAAAAAUUGAUACCAGUUACUUUAGCAAUAUGUCACUUGAGAGUGUACAAUACGCCAUAUGAAGCAGUUUUUUCAUGACCUUUCGCACUCAAAGUGACAGCCUCUUAUUAACCAACAAC